Gallus gallus (chicken) is the source of this 6396-nucleotide RNA transcript. It is a transcript of the gene named Ral GEF with PH domain and SH3 binding motif 1, with no coding region annotated. The record is from RefSeq and is a predicted model, not a curated record. NCBI's taxonomy places the organism in Eukaryota, Metazoa, Chordata, Aves, Galliformes, Phasianidae. The transcript has 23 exons.
GGGGGGGGGGGGGGGGGGUGAGGAGUAGCUUGGAGUUACUUUCUUAAUUUAAGAAAUGCAACUUCUUGUUUCCAGUGAGAGCAGAACAUGUGAGAUACUCCUGCUGUCUUCUAAAAUUUCAACACAAAACCAUCUUAUUAUUUAUAGAGCACUUGGAAACUGCGAAGGCUGUUCUGCUUUUGUGGCAAAUACUGCAGCUACUAGUCCUUGCUGUAAUACAGUGUUUACUGCUUCAUAGCAUGUUAAUGAUGAUUAGUGUGGCAGACUGGAUGUCAGCUAGUUUUGUUGAGGAAGUUUACACGUAAUGCAGUGUUUAACUUGUUUAACUAGAAGUUACUACUUAAGUUGAGAGGUUUUUCAGUGAAAAUGAAAAGCUGGGUUUUACAGGGCAUAUCAUAAGAACAAACUGAGCUUUGAAUGUUGUUUCUAACCUACUGAUAGAUUUAAUUCCAAUCAAUUGUGUACGUUCAUAAAACCCAAGUAGUUUGAGACCUGGAUUUUGAAGUUGUUUCUUAAAACUCACCAUGGCAGCUACUUGUAUUUGGAAUAUUCUUCUUUCUUCUAUUUCUUUCUUCUAUUCAUUUGGAAUGUUCUUCUUUCUUCAUGAUAGAACUUAGUUAAGUACACAUGCACUAGAGAAGUGGAAAUAGGAGAAAUCUGUAUCUUCAUGAGUUAGACUUGAUUCUUUGGCAACUUUUGUCAGUCGAUGCUUUUCAGUUUGCUUGCUCAGGAGCAGUGCAUGUUGUUGAGAAGUAUUUAUUUACCUUCCAGUUUGCAGUCUCCUCAAUGACAGGAUUUGCACAUAGUUAAUCCAGAGAAUAUUAAAAAUGUUUAUAUGUUUCUGUUUACGUUCCUGUUUCAAUCUGUUGUAGAUUGACAAGGCUAAUGAGAUGUGAUUUUUUUCUUUUUUUUUUUUUGUUAAUCCUGCUCAAUCUUUGUAUUUGUGCUGGUCGUAUAACAGUGAAUGGUUUAAAUUCCUUUACUGAGCCUUGGAAUACUGUUUUUCUUCUAAGGACAUACCUUCACAGGUCUUGUCACAAAACCACUAUAGCAUUUUAUAUGCUUAAUUUCCGUUAACUUUUCAUUGUCCAUCAUUUACUGUAGUAAGUUUCACAGAGAAGAAUGUGCUUGAAACUACUAGCUUGUUCAUGACCUAUUUUAUCUAUAGGUGGUACUGUUGCCUAAAGCAUCGUGGAACUUACUUUAGGAACUUCCUGGUGAAAUGGGUAUGAAAUGCUCACACAAGACAGUUGUCACUUAGGAAGAUUUUAGUCACAUAAGUGUAAAGGCUCUUUAAAUCUUGUAUAACCUAAUUGCUUUUUUUUCCCUUGAACUAUUACUAAGCAAUUUUUCUUUGUAUUUUUUUUUGAAUACUUCAGAGUUUUUGUCUUGUACAAAAUGGCCAAAAAUGUUCAGUGCUGAAUUAUUUCAGGACAAGAGCUUGUUCAUAUAAAACACUGACACAGACUAGUUCAAUUGUCUAGAUGCUCAUAGGUAUGAUUAUGUAUACAUUGUAUGUCAUGAAAGAAUAGUGUACAAAAUGAUGCUCUUUUUCAGAGAAGUUGACCACUUCUGCCUUAAUAAUUGGAAACGUGAUCAUUUUCCUUCCCACUUUGUAAAAAUCAUGUGGGAGGGAAUGAGAAAUGGGGUUUGAGAAUUGGUAUGUGACUGGAUGGAGGCACUCAUGAAAGUAAAGAUAGGAUAUAGUGUCUGAAAGUACUGAACUCUUCAGAGGUGAUUCUGUCAGUCAGGGGUAAAGUGAUUUUACAGUGCUGUUGCUCAGUGCUCCUGAAGUUUGUGCAUUACUUUUCUCCAGGUUAGCAAGUAUCCUGCUAUAGCAUUCAGUAGUUAAAGUCCUUUUAAAGUGCUUCUGAGUUGGCGUUCUCUGUCACUACAAUGACAAAGCAACUGUAAAUUGUUCAGAUUCAGAAUAAUUUUGAGUAUUCAUUUCAUUUUUAUUUCUAAGACGAUGACACUAAGCAAAGGAAAUUUUAAGGACAAAAAGGCUGCAUAACUACUUAGACAUGGAGAAGCAGCAAAACAUGAUUCUAGAUUACCUUGAUAUUACUUCCCUUUCGAUGUAUAUUUAUUAAAAACGCAAAACGAUGGGGUUCUUUUACCUCUUUCAAGCCUCUUGGCUGCAGCUGGAUGUGGUGUAAGUGGUGAUAUAUGUUUCACAUCAGUGGCUAAAUGCAAGCAUGGGGGUGCAGUUAUAACCACAUUCUUGUUUCAUCCUGUUUUCUUAAUGCAGUUCCACUUUCCUCAUCAAAGACAUUAACUGUACUAACAUAUUUUCAUUUGCACUCUACGCCCACAGCAUCUGAAUAUAAUUUUGUUCAUUGUUCACGAAGGAAAGAGGCAUUCUAAUGUUGAACAUCUGGAGGAAUAGUUGUAGAAUGAAAAAGUAGGAAAAUGAGUGCAGUGAUCAUAAACCAAAGCUGAACAUGGAGCUCAGUGUGGUUUAUUGUAGAGGUGUCCUUAGGUUGUGACAGCUGCCUCAAAAAGUGGCGAAAGUGGAAUAACUUUUUAUUUAAUCUUGUUGAAGAUAAAUAUUGAAAACAAGAUCCUUUUGGUGUUACUCAUUCACUUGCCUUGAUCAAUGAAAGCUAAUCAUUUUGAUGUUUGGUACCAUCUUAUUUUUUUUAAUUAACCAAAUCAGGUAGCUUCCACUGUUUUCAACGAAGUUUAUGAGUGUUCACAUGGGGCCCUAGUGUUUUUUAGUUGUCUUCACUGAGCAGGUGAGCAGCUAAUUUGACCAUAGGAAAAAAACUGUUACCUCUUAGUAAUAUACUAAAGUAUGUUGUUUUAAAAAGCAUGGUACACUUGUCAUUUCGUGAUUCAGGGAUAUUAGGAGAAUCACAACGAAGUAAAAAGGUAGUAAGGUUUGAAAUUGGCGAAGAUGUUUGUAGUUUAGAGCUCGGAAUGGCUCUACUAGGUCUGAUCAGACGUCUGUCUAUCCUGGUAUCUUUUCCUCCGUCAAGAAAAUUAAUGAGUAAUGAUCACCAGUGGUUGUUUAGAUUAUUACUCUCAAAUUCUUUAAAGACACGAUGGUUUGUUGCUUUUCCUGAAUGCUCUGCUAGCAUUCAGAAUUUAUGACAGGGGAACUUUCUUGGCUGGAGCUGAUAUCUGUCCUUCACAGCUUUUUUUGCAUAAUGAAUUUGUGGUCCUUGUCAAAUAUAUACAUAUCACUAAAAACAAUGUAAAAUUAACUCUGAAGAGUGCCUCCAGGGAGUGCUGCUUCAGUUCCACAGAUGACAAAAUUUGACAGACGUGGGUGGAAUAGUGGCCUAUUGGCUGUAGGGAUUAUUCUUGUGUUUUUUUGUUUUGUUUUGUUUUUUUAAUUUUUUCAAUUUUACUUGAUUACUACAAGGAGAAUAAAUACUUACAUUAAAUGUAUUUGUUAAGUUGGCAACAGAGAACCAACAACCUCUGUUUGGUAUGUGUAUUUGUACCCUGAUUCAUCCAUUUUGCUACCAACAAAAGUAUGUUAGUGCUUUUGGUCUCAGGUAUUAAAGUACUUUUGUCUCUCUUGUAGUGAACAUUUAAAUUAGCAGUAAAACUGACCUUGGGCAGCUUGCAAGAUCACAUACAGGAUUUUCUCCUCCUUAGAGCAUUUUUGAGUCCCCAUGCGCUGGAAAGCCUAGUCAAGAAGCUGGAGAAGGAAGAGAUGAGAGUGUUUUUAUGGCCACGAUACUCUGUGUGUCUGCAGCAGUGUAGCUGAAUGAAUAAUUUCAACCAACUAGACAGAGAAAUUCUGUUUUCGUCAUGCUGUAUUACCGGUGCUGGCGGAGCUGAAAGUUUCUGCUUCUUGGUGCGAGCAUGUAUAAAAGGAAUGACUUCAUGGCCAAUGUGAUGGUCACCUCUGCCACUCCAGAGGGUAGUAGCAGCUCAGAUUCUCUGGAAGGGCGAAGUUCAGAUUAUGCCAAUAAGAGCUAUGAUGCUGUUGUAUUUGAUGUAUUAAAAGUAACUCCUGAGGAGUUUGCUAGCCAAAUUACGUUAAUGGAUAUGCCAGUAUUUAAAGCUAUACAGCCUGAGGAACUAGCCAGCUGUGGGUGGAAUAAGAAAGAAAAGCAUAUCCUUGCUCCAAAUAUUGUUGCCUUCACUAGGAGGUUUAACCAGGUCAGUUUUUGGGUUGUACGAGAAAUAUUAACAGCACAGACGUUAAAAAUAAGGGCAGAAAUACUGAGCCAUUUUGUGAAAACUGCUAAAAAGCUUCUAGAGCUGAAUAACCUCCAUUCUCUUAUGUCUGUGGUGUCAGCACUGCAAAGUGCACCCAUCUUCAGACUGACCAAAACCUGGGCUCUCUUGAAUCGCAAAGACAAGGCCACUUUUGAGAAGUUAGACUACUUACUUUCUAAAGAGGACAAUUAUAAAAGAACACGAGAGUACAUCAGAAGCUUAAAAAUGGUUCCAAGUAUUCCAUAUUUAGGAAUUUAUCUCUUCGACUUAAUCUACAUUGAUUCUGCAUAUCCUGCUUCAGGCAGCAUUAUGGAAAAUGAACAAAGAUCCAAUCAAAUGAACAAUAUUCUCCGAAUAAUAGCUGAUCUGCAAGUCUCCUGUAACUAUGAACAUCUUACAACGCUACCCCAUGUACAAAAGUAUUUGAAGUCUGUCCGUUACAUUGAGGAACUUCAGAAAUUUGUGGAAGAUGACAAUUAUAAAUUGUCAUUAAGAAUUGAGCCAGGUAACAGCUCUCCUCGACUGGUUUCCUCCAAAGAAGAUCUCACAGGUCCAGCUGAAGUGUCAGCAGUUAUGAAAUUCAGCAGGAGACCAACAUGUCCCGACACCUCGGUAGCAGCAAGUCUGUCUACACCUCCUAUACCAAGGCACAGGAAGAGUCACAGCCUGGGAAACAACAUGAUGUGUCAGUUCAGUGUGGUGGAGAGCAAAAGCGCCACUUUCCCGACGGAGAGGCCGCGCCACCUCCUGGAUGACAGCGUCCUGGAGUCACAGAGCCCGACCCGCAGCGACAUGCUGAACUCACUUUUCACUAAUGGCAUCUCCAUAGAUAGCAGUGAAAGCUCGGAAUUUAGUGAGGAGCAGUCAUCAGGGCUUGAAAGGGGUCGUUUGUAUGCCACGCUGGGGCCAAAUUGGAGGGUACCAAUCCGGAAUUCUCCCAGGAGUCGAAGCUGUGUCUACAGCCCAACAGGAGCCUGCAGCUGCACACUAGGUAGUUCCAUGGGAGUAGUUACCAUGGAAGGACCCUUAAGAAGAAAAACAUUGCUCAAAGAAGGCAAGAAACCUACUCUCUCUUCAUGGACUAGAUACUGGAUUAUGCUUUCAGGAUCGAAUCUUCUGUAUUUUGGAGCAAAAUCUUUAAGAGGCAAUGAAAGAAAACAUUAUAAAUCUACACCUAGUAAAAAGAUCUCCAUUGUGGGCUGGAUGGUGGCACUGCCUGAUGACCCUGAACAUCCUGACAUUUUCCAGCUAAAUAACCCUGACAAAGGUAAUGUUUACAAGUUCCAGACUGGUUCAAGGUUUCAUGCAAUAUUAUGGCAUAAGCAUUUGGAUGAUGCGUGCAAAAGCAACAAGCCUCAGAAACAGGAAGACUUUUUCAAGACUUUACUACUUUGUAGUUCUGGAAAUCACUUGGAUCUGUGCAAUUUUCCUCCAGGCUCUUAUCCACAUUAUAUAUAUUUUAUAAAGAUGAACAGUGCACCAAAGACCUUGCUCAGGAACAUAGUGACUGUGGUAUUGGUUCACCUCAGGCCUUGCUCAGGCAGAUAGUGACCACAGUACUGGCUCAGCCUGGUUGCUGGAGGAACUGAUGGACAGACAUCUUGUUCAACAGCUGAGGGAAAAUUGAGUAUGUGCCAGAAAACAUGACUAUGGGUCGACCAUCUUACCCUGAGUGAUGUGUGUAAUGCCAUCAGCCACAACGUCAUAGUCUUUCACAGGACAAAAGAAGACUAAAAAUGGAAAGAAAGAGAAGGGACAAGCCAGCCUAUCUAGAAAAUAUAGCCGCCAAGGAAAGCUGUGCCAGGGAAGAGGAACACACUGGUACCAAAGUCCAGUUCACAAUGGGUUCAUUCCUUCUGCCAUUUACACAAAGCCACAGCUGAUCAGACUGAAACAUUCCUCUUGCUGGCUCCUAUUCUUCCUUCAUUUUAUUAAUAACCUGGCAACAGGAUAGGGGCUAAGAAAAGAGACCUUCUAGAAUGGAGAAUUUACUGAAGAAACCAGAAGUGAAAGGUAGGUAUGGGAGUUUGAAGUCACAUUUAUUAGGUGACAUAGUUCCUUUAGAGAACGAGAAAAGGACUUUAGGCAUGAGCACAACCCAUCAGGAAAAUCCAUGGUGACCUGGGCAAAUUCAUGCAGCACGGAUGUUGUAGAACAGUUUUAUGGAAGUGUGACAUCUUAAAGUCAAAAUAUAUUUUUCUCUGAUUAUUUUUUGUA